UUUAGGUAAUUAACUAGAUUUCGCUAUCUGCUUCAUUAGUUGCAUUCUCAUUGCCACCAACAAUGUGCUAACAAUAAUAAUAAUAACAAAAAUGCAGACAUGAAAACAUUCUGCGGUUUGACGGCAGACAUAAGAAAAUAUGCACAAAAAUAUUUCGGACGUUCGCGUUGUCUUCUCAAGAUACUACGAUAGGAUAGCAGCUGCAAUUGUUUGGCUGGUUUCAUUGUCUUUGGCAAUGUUUAUAAUAAAGAAAAAAAAGGAAAAAAAAACAAAAAACAAAAACAAUGGUAGUUAAUUCUACAAAAUGGGCUCUGCGGUAUUGGCUUUUUCUACGAGUAUGCAGCAGCUUUAGCGAAACCAUCUGGGUCUAGAAGCUGUCUUGCAACAUGUUCCACUACGAACAUCACCCAGAACGACAGCGGCAACGGCGGUCGUUGUGGCUAAUUUCCUAACGUUCAACGGGGCGUAUGCACAAUGAGGGCCGCCCCAGUAAGGACCUCCCUCAAAAGGCAUUUUUAAUUGCAUAGUUGGCCGUAAGUGUUGCUUUGUAUUUGAUUCUGCAGCAUCCCUAAGCCUGGCCAACAGCUGUGCGGAUAAUCUUACUAAGAAUAUUCAGAAAAUGUGAAAAGCAUUCAAGUAGAGAAAUUCUUCUUAAUGGUCUUGUUUCAAAUGCAAUUGCGCGUAAUAAUAAACACAGAACUUAUAAAUUAUA
Drosophila innubila is the source of this 712-nucleotide long non-coding RNA. RefSeq lists it as uncharacterized. The transcript is spliced from 2 exons. The record is from RefSeq and is a predicted model, not a curated record. Lineage: Eukaryota; Metazoa; Arthropoda; Insecta; Diptera; Drosophilidae.